AAUGAACGUUGGCGGCGUGGAUUAGGCAUGCAAGUCGAACGGGAGUAGCAAUACUCUAGUGGCGAAAGGGACAGUAAUACGUAGAUACGUACCCUCCGGCCUGGGAUAGUCCACCGAAAGGUGGGGUAAUACCAGAUGAUGUCUCCGGACCAAAGGUGUGAUUCCACCGGGGGAGCGGUCUGCGUCCUAUUAGCUUGUUGGCGGGGUAAUGGCCCACCAAGGCGAUGAUGGGUAGCGGGUGUGAGAGCACGACCCGCGUCAUUGGGACUGAGACACUGCCCAGACACCUACGGGUGGCUGCAGUCGAGGAUCUUCGGCAAUGAGCGCAAGCUUGACCGAGCGACGCCGCGUGCGGGAUGAAGGCUUUCGGGUUGUAAACCGCUGUCAGUGGGGAGGAAAUUGAGGUGGGUACUCUCAUCUCAUUGACCUAUCCGCAGAGGAAGCAAGGGCUAAGUUCGUGCCAGCCGCCGCAGUAAUAC
Molecule: ribosomal RNA, 479 nt
Filed under: uncultured bacterium
Lineage: Bacteria
Description: bacterial SSU rRNA
Rfam family: Bacterial small subunit ribosomal RNA
Source: RNAcentral